ACGCUCGACACCUACGGGAGGUAGCAGUGGGGAAUAUUGCACAAUGGGGGAAACCCUGAUGCAGCGACGCCGCGUGGAGGAAGAAGGUCUUCGGAUUGUAAACUCCUGUUGUUGGGGAAAAAGAGGAUGGUACCCAACAAGGAAGUGACGGCUAACUACGUGCCAGCAGCCGUGGUAGUACUGAGGCGGGCGUGNGAGA
RNAcentral lists this ribosomal RNA (199 nucleotides) under uncultured bacterium. Its description in RNAcentral is "partial 16S ribosomal RNA". It matches the Rfam family "Bacterial small subunit ribosomal RNA", at positions 328 to 541 of the family's 1533-position model. The record is from RNAcentral.